GAAAUGCGAUAAGUAAUGUGAAUUGCAGAAUUCCGUGAAUCAUCGAAUCUUUGAACGCACAUUGCGCCCCCUGGCAUUCCGGGGGGCAUGCCUGUCCGAGCGUCAUUUCUGCCCUCAAGCACGGCUUGUGUGUUGGGUGUGGUCCCCCCGGGGACCUGCCCGAAAGGCAGCGGCGACGUCCGUCUGGUCCUCGAGCGUAUGGGGCUCUGUCACUCGCUCGGGAAGGACCUGCGGGGGUUGGUCACCACCAUAUUUCACCACGGUUGACCCCGGAUCAGGUAGGAGUUACCCGCUGAACUUAAGC
RNAcentral lists this unclassified non-coding RNA (304 nucleotides) under plant metagenome. RNAcentral's name for it is "partial contains 5.8S ribosomal RNA, internal transcribed spacer 2, and large subunit ribosomal RNA". The stretch from base 1 to 105 matches the Rfam family "5.8S ribosomal RNA", at positions 50 to 154 of the family's 154-position model. The record is from RNAcentral.